UACUUAAAGAUACAUUUAUCACCCUAACAUCUUCAAUGUCAUACUCUUUUUAAGCUAUUUAAGU
Molecule: transfer RNA, 64 nt
Filed under: Scaptodrosophila latifasciaeformis
Lineage: Eukaryota; Metazoa; Arthropoda; Insecta; Diptera; Drosophilidae
Description: tRNA-Phe
Source: RNAcentral